This 450-nucleotide ribosomal RNA is filed under the name uncultured bacterium. RNAcentral's name for it is "partial 16S ribosomal RNA". It matches the Rfam family "Bacterial small subunit ribosomal RNA", at positions 354 to 796 of the family's 1533-position model. The record is from RNAcentral.
GUGGGGAAUAUUGGACAAUGGGCGAAAGCCUGAUCCAGCCAUGCCGCGUGUGUGAAGAAGGUCUUCGGAUUGUAAAGCACUUUAAGUUGGGAGGAAGGGCAGUAAGUUAAUACCUUGCUGUUUUGACGUUACCGACAGAAUAAGCACCGGCUAACUUCGUGCCAGCAGCCGCGGUAAUACGAAGGGUGCAAGCGUUAAUCGGAAUUACUGGGCGUAAAGCGCGCGUAGGUGGUUUUGUAAGUUGGAGGUGAAAUCUCCGGGCUCAACCUGGGAACUGCCUCCAAAACUGCAUGACUAGAGUACGGUAGAGGGUAGUGGAAUUUCCUGUGUAGCGGUGAAAUGCGUAGAUAUAGGAAGGAACACCAGUGGCGAAGGCGACUACCUGGACUGAUACUGACACUGAGGUGCGAAAGCGUGGGGAGCAAACAGGAUUAGAAACCCCUGUAGUCC